AAAAAAAACAUAAAGAAUAAAAAAAAAAUCAAAAAAAAAAAAAAAAACAGAAAUCCCAUCAUACCAUUGAAUCAUCUUACGAGAUAUAUACAUAUGUACAUAUUUGUAUGGUCCACGUAUUUGUCAUGCUAGCGAAUAGGCAUUUCACACGCCAUUCAUAACUGACAACGCAUACGCAAAAGUAUGAGAUUAGUUAACCAAAAAAAAAGAGAGGAAAAAAAAAAAAGAAAACGGAUAAAGAAAAAUUCGAAGAAACAUGGAAUUCAUGAAAUUUUCGUAUUACAACGAUAACGACAAUAUAAUACGAUAUAUGAACACCCGAAUACAUUUUUUAACAGAUACAUAUAUACAUACUUGUGUACAUUCUAUAGGCGUAUAUACGUUCCACCUAUUAAAGUUCUAGGCCAUGAUGCAAGAGACAAGAUCACACUUAAAAUUCAAUACGAGGCCUACGUUAGUCGUACUAAUCUUAGCUACGUUAUUAUAUCAUUUUUAUUAUUUCGGAAGGAAUGGUAAAUCCAACGAAUUUCGUUUGGAACUCGUACAAGUAUUAUUUAGACAUGGAGAACGAACACCCCUUGCUAAAGAAAUGUAUCCUAAUGAUCCUUAUUAUGGAUCAAAUUACGAACCAUGGAGUGUCGCUCAAUUGACAAAUGUAGGAAAAAUGCGUGAAUAUUCAAUCGGAAAAAUGUUGAGAGAACGUUACAACGAUUUCUUGGGUGAUUUAUAUCGCCCUAAAGAUGUAUAUGCUCGUAGCACGGAUAUCGAUCGGACUAAAGCGUCUCUAUACUUAGUUUUAGCAGGUCUUUAUCCACCAUCAAAAGAACAGAAUUGGAAUCCAAAUUUACCAUGGUUAGCUAUUCCCACGCAUUAUGCUCCAGAAAGGGUGGAUAAUUUGUUAAGACCUCAAGCUUGUCCAAUAUACGAAAAAGCUUUAGAAGAAGUUAGGGAAUUGCAGGAGGUACGUGAGAAAAGUGCAGUUUAUACGGACGUAUUAAAAUAUCUUACAGAAAAAACUGGUAUGGAAGUUAAAACUUUAUCGGCGGCUUACGAAAUUUUUAAUUUAUUGACAGCACAGAAAAAUUUGAAUUUAACGUUACCAGAAUGGUGUACCGAGAAUAUUUAUAAAAAGAUGGAGGAUAUCGUAUUUCUCGAAUACGAAAUUCGUUCGUAUACGCCAAAAUUGAAACGUUUAACUGGCGGCAUGUUAAUCAGGAAAUUUAUUGAAAAUAUGAAUAUAAAUGGGAAACAAAAGAAUCCUCGGAAAAUUUAUCUUUAUAGUGGUCAUGAAAUUAAUAUUGCAGCUUUUACAAGAGCACACGACAUUCAUAUACCUAAAUUACCUAGUUAUGGUUCGACAAUUAUAGUAGAAAAAUUACGUAAUACGGAAGGAAAACUUUUCAUUAAGAUGCUUCUUUGGACUGGCGUUACUGAAGAAUUAAUUACACUUAAACUUAAAAAUUGUGAUGAAAUUUGCCCAAUAGAUACAUAUUUAGAAAUUGUGAAAGACAUUAUUCCUUCUGAUGAUGACACAAAUUGCUACUGGAAUACAAUAACAAAAGAAGAAUUAAAAAAUCUAUACACCGAUAAAAUAUAUCUCAAUUAAUGUAUAUAAUUUUACACAUAGUAUUUUUAUAAAUAUUAUCUUUUUCUUAAAUUAAAAUUAUUCCGAUUAUAUGCAAUAUUAUCGAGGCAAUUAAAUCUUAUUAGGUGAUUGGAUGAGCAGUCGAAGUUUAUUGGUGAAAUGAGAUCCAAUCAUCGUCGAGAUAGAUAUAUCUUACGCUAAUCAAUAUUAUCAUUUGUUAUUCCGAGCAAUAGCAUACGUAUUACUUAACCUGUACAAAUAAUAUUAAUAAAAUCAAACAAAAUUAUAUAUAGAA
Vespa crabro (European hornet) is the source of this 1880-nucleotide RNA transcript. It is a transcript of the gene named venom acid phosphatase Acph-1-like, with no coding region annotated. The transcript is spliced from 9 exons. The record is from RefSeq and is a predicted model, not a curated record. Lineage: Eukaryota; Metazoa; Arthropoda; Insecta; Hymenoptera; Vespidae.